RNAcentral lists this ribosomal RNA (520 nucleotides) under uncultured Diversispora. RNAcentral's name for it is "SSU rRNA". It matches the Rfam family "Eukaryotic small subunit ribosomal RNA", at positions 569 to 1087 of the family's 1831-position model. The record is from RNAcentral. Lineage: Eukaryota; Fungi; Glomeromycota; Glomeromycetes; Diversisporales; Diversisporaceae.
AGCAGCCGCGGUAAUUCCAGCUCCAAUAGCGUAUAUUAAAGUUGUUGCAGUUAAAAAGCUCGUAGUUGAACUUCGGGGUCUACCCAUUGGUCAGGCUUAAUUGUCUGCACUGGUAGGAUGGAUCUCUACCUUCUGAGGAACUUUCAUGCCAUUUAUUUGGUGUGAUGGGAAAUCAGGACUGUUACUUCGAAAAAAUUAAAGUGUUUAAAGCAGACUAUCGUCUGAAUACAUUAGCAUGGAAUAAUGAAAUAGGACGGACUGAUUCUAUUUCGUUGGUUUCUAGGAUCACCGUAAUGAUUAAUAGGGAUAGUUGGGGGCAUUAGUAUUCAAUUGUCAGGGGUGAAAUUCUUGGAUUUAUUGAAGACUAACUACUGCGAAAGCAUUUGCCAAGGAUGUUUUCAUUAAUCAAGAACGAAAGUUAGGGGAUCGAAGACGAUCAGAUACCGUCGUAGUCUUAACCAUAAACUAUGCCGACUAGGGAUCGGACGAAGUUAAUUUUUAAUGUACUCGUUUUGGCACC